UGGAAUGUAGCUCAGUGGUAGAGUGGUUCCCUAGCAUGCAUGAGGCACUGGGUUCAAUCCCCAGUAUUGCAA
Molecule: transfer RNA, 72 nt
Filed under: Heterocephalus glaber (naked mole-rat)
Lineage: Eukaryota; Metazoa; Chordata; Mammalia; Rodentia; Bathyergidae
Rfam family: tRNA
About the family: Transfer RNA (tRNA) molecules are approximately 80 nucleotides in length. Their secondary structure includes four short double-helical elements and three loops (D, anti-codon, and T loops).
Source: Rfam by way of RNAcentral